RNAcentral lists this ribosomal RNA (545 nucleotides) under uncultured Caldilineaceae bacterium. RNAcentral's name for it is "bacterial SSU rRNA". It matches the Rfam family "Bacterial small subunit ribosomal RNA", at positions 188 to 750 of the family's 1533-position model. Lineage: Bacteria; Bacillati; Chloroflexota; Caldilineae; Caldilineales; Caldilineaceae. The record is from RNAcentral.
AGAAGCUUUAUGAUUAAAGGAGCUUGCUCCACUUUGGGAGGGGCCUGCGUACCAUCAGCUAGUUGGUAGGGUAAUGGCCUACCAAGGCUAUGACGGUUAGGGGACCUGAGAGGGUGGCCCCCCACAAUGGAACUGAAACACGGUCCAUACACCUACGGGUGGCAGCAGUAGGGAAUAUUGGUAAUGCGCGAAAGCGCGAACCAGCAACGCCGCGUGUGCGAAGAAGGCCUUCGGGUUGUAAAGCACUUUUCGGGAGGAAGAGGAAGGACUGUACUCCCGGAAUAAGUCUCGGCUAACUACGUGCCAGCAGCCGCGGUAAUACGUAGGAGGCUAACGUUAUCCGGAUUUACUGGGCGUAAAGCGCGUGUAGGCGGUUUGGUAAGUUGGACGUGAAAGCUCCCGGCUCAACUGGGAGAGGUCGUUCAAUACUGCUAGACUAGAGGAUGGUAGAGGGAGGUGGAAUCCGGGGUGUAUUGGUGAAUUGCGCAGAUAUUCGGAGGACCACAGGUGGCGAAGGCGGCCUCCUGGACCACUCCGACGCCAAA